RNAcentral lists this ribosomal RNA (220 nucleotides) under uncultured Desulfuromonas sp. RNAcentral describes it as "partial 16S ribosomal RNA". It matches the Rfam family "Bacterial small subunit ribosomal RNA", at positions 1161 to 1382 of the family's 1533-position model. The record is from RNAcentral. Lineage: Bacteria; Pseudomonadati; Thermodesulfobacteriota; Desulfuromonadia; Desulfuromonadales; Desulfuromonadaceae.
AACCGGAGGAGUGGGGAUGACGUCAAGUCCUCAUGGCCCUUAUAGGUGGGGCUACACACGUGCUACAAUGGCCGGUACAAAGGGCAGCAAAGCCGCGAGGUGGAGCCAAUCCCAGAAAGCCGGUCUCAGUUCGGAUUGGAGUCUGCAACUCGACUCCAUGAAGUUGGAAUCGCUAGUAAUCGCGGAUCAGCAUGCCGCGGUGAAUACGUUCCCGGGCCUU